Molecule: long non-coding RNA, 6976 nt
Filed under: Homo sapiens (human)
Lineage: Eukaryota; Metazoa; Chordata; Mammalia; Primates; Hominidae
Description: long independently transcribed non-coding RNA 2700, transcript variant 32 (LINC02700)
Source: RNAcentral
AGUUCGCCAGGCAGGAAGUGCAGUAGCAGGACUCUGGCUUUCCGGAGAGUCUCUGUUUUUCCUUUUUUUUUUUCCCUUUUCGCCCAAUAAAUACCAUUUUUCUCACCCUUCAAAGUGUCUGCAAGCCUAAUAUUUCAUGGAUGUUUGACAAGGACCCCGUCUUUAGCUGAACUAAGGAGAAAGUCCUGCAACACACACAUGGAGCUCAGCAAACGGAGGAUGUAACGCACAUGAAAUUUGGUGCUGUGACUCGGAUUGGGGGACCUCCCUUGGGAGAUCAAUCCCCUGUCCUCCUGUUCUUUGCUCCAUGGGAAAGAUCCACCUACGACCUCAGGUCCUCAGACCGACCAGCCCAAGGAACAUCUCACCAAUUUUAAAUCGGGACCCCACUGGAAAUCGGACUGUUCAACUCACCUGGCAGCCACUCACAGAGCCCGUGGAACUCUGGCCCAAGGCUCUCUGACUCCUUCUCGGCUUAGCGGCUAAAGACUGACACUGCCCGAUCGCCUCGGAAGCCCCGUAGACCAUCACGGACGCCGAGCUUUAGAUGAAGAAACUGAGGUCCAGAGAAGUUAAACGACCUUCCUAAGAUUACACAGCUUAGUAAGUGGCAGAACCACAGCUGGAAGCCAGGUCCUUCCUCACGCAAGUCCUGGCUCAUUCAUUCCUCUUCCAAAGACUUGCUGAGCACCUUCUAGGUGCCAGAUGCGGUGCUGGCUCCUGGGGACAUGGGAGUGAACAGGCCAGGCGUGGCCCUGAACCAUCAAAUAGACAACCACAGAAAUAACAACAACAAAGACAAAACCGGGCCCUUCCACACAGUAGCUGGAACACAAAGGAAGAUCAGCCAAGCCUCAACAUAAUCUCAUAAAAAUUCUUCAAAUAUCCCAUUGUUAUGGAUUCAUACAUCAGGAAAGCAGAUGCCAAGAACCUGAACACCUUCUACUGGUAACAUAUAUUUUGGCGAGCCAGCCUGGAGACAAGACCACUAUGGGCAACUUCCUGUCUAUUCUACCUGGUGUCACUGUGGACAACUUCCUAUCUAUUCCACCCGAUUCACCGCUUGGCUACAUCCUCCACCAUUGGGAUGAAUUUGACCCUAACAAUCUAAAGAAAAGGCAUAUGAUUUUUUACUGCAAUAUUGUUUGACACAAUUAUGAGCUGCCCAAUCCGGAACAAUGGGCAGUCAAUGGUAGCCUUAAUUAUGAUACCAUCCUGUAUCUAGACCUAUUUUACAAGAGGCAGGGCAAAUGGUCAGAAGUCCCACAUAUACAGGCCUACAUGACCCUAUACGAAGACCUAAGAAUCUAGGAAACUCCCAGAACCCAUCCCCCGAAGGAAAGUUCUGGGGCAGAACUAGAUAUUAUAGAUGAACCCCCUUUUACAAGGGAUACCUGUCUCUCAGAGUGAGCAGUGACUGUCCCCAUAUAACCCCUCACCAAGUGCUCCUGAGGCUGAAACCCAGGGGCAAACAUGGGGAACCCUACUAAGUCCCCCUCACACUUGGAGGGGAACACUGUAUUCAACUCUCUAUCCAGCCCUGCUACUCUCAGAGAAAUAGCAGGGGCUGAGGGGCCAAUCCUAGUGUGGGUCCCCUUCUCUAUGAUUGAUAUACAACAAUGUAAGGAAAAGCUAGGAAGCUAUUCUGAGGAUUCCGGGAAGUUUGCAGAUGGGUUCCAAACUUUGACCUUAGCCUUUGAUCUCUCAUGGAGAGACGUUCAAUUCACUCUAGCAACCUGUUGCACCUCCUCGGAAAAGGAACGAAUCUUUGAGGCUGCCCUCCGAGAAGUGGACGAAUUAUUCACCCAAAACCGUAAAGGCAGUCACCCAGGCCCAGCCACAGUUCCCACUACGCAUCCUAAUUGAGACCAAGACACCCCCGCAGGAAGGAACAACUGGGCUAAAUUUCUUGAGGCUCUUGGAGGAAUGAGAAAGGGAAUAACUAAGGCAGUAAAUUAUGAUAAAGUAAGGCAGAUUACACAAGGCAGGGAGGAAAACCCAGCUGUGUUUUACGGCAGGCUGCGGGAAGCCUUUAAAAAAUAUAUACUAAUUUGGUCCCUUCCUCUCCUGAAGGCAAGUUAUUAAUGGCACAACGUUUCAUUAGCCAAUCCACACCAGACAUUAGACGUAAGCUCCAAAAGCUACACAUGGGGCCACAAACUAACCAAAAUCAGCUUCUUGGUACUGCCUUCAUGGUGUAUAACAAUCGUGACCUGGAGGAAGGAGAAGGGAAACAGAGUAAAGAAAAACGGCAAGCCAAAAUUAUGUUAGCCAUCACUGGUGAUGCCCUAAAUGCACAAAGAUUGUCCAAGGGAAACUCAAAGGGCCAUAAGGAUAAUGCCAGCAAAGGCUCUUGCUUCAAAUGCAAUAAAAGUGCGAUUGGGCACAGGAAUCCACUAAGCCCCCGCCAGUCCCCUGCCGUCAAUGUAAAAGCACCAGUUGUGGCUCCUGGCCCUGGAGAAUUGACUGUCCCUGCUCCCACCAAGGGGCUCAGUCAGUCAAAACUCUGGCAGUGCACAAGGAGGAAUCAGAUGAAGACUGAAGGGGCCUGGGGCCUUCCUCACUGCCCCGUCUAGGAACAUUGUAAUUACUACUGAGGAACCCUGGGUAACUCUGGACAUCAUGGCCACCCAAAUUCAGUUUUUAUGUGAUACCAAGGUGAAUUAUUCUGUACAACUGCUUAUGCAGGAAAACUUUCCUCCCGGUCCAUGAGUGAUAUUGGAUGGAAGGGAAGCCACAAACAAGAUUCUUACUCCUCCUUUGGUUUGUCAAUUUGAGAAACAAAUCUUCCAACAGGAAUUUUUAGUAGUACCAAGCUGCCCAAUUCCCCUGUGGGAAAGAGAUAUUAUGGUGAAAAUAGUGACACUACUGCAAUUUAAGCAAUAUUAGCAGGUGAAACUGCUAAUAGUAAGAAAUAAGGCAAUGUCCCAGACCAUGUCAAUAAACAGGUUAACCCACUGGCAUGGUAUACUGGAAACCCAGGGAAGGCUAAAACAGCAGUGCCAGUCAAAAUACAGCUUAAAGACCCCAGCCAUUUUCCCAAUGGAAAACAAUACCCAGUUGAACAGGAAGCAAGCAAAGGUCUAGCUCCCAUAGUUGAGAUAUUACUUACCCAUGGACUCUUAAAACCCUGCAAUUCUCCCUGCAAUACCCCCAUCUUACCUGUUCUCAAGCCUGGGGGGAAUACCAGCUAGUACAGAACCUCAGAAUAAUGAAUGAGGCUGUUAUCCCCGUCCACCCAUUGGUGGCAGAUCCAUAUGCCCUCCUGGCUCAGGUGCCAGGGCAUGCAAAAUGGUUCUCAGUCCUAGACCUUUCUUCUCCAUUCCUCUGGCCCCGAGCCCCCCAGUACCUUUUUGCUUUCGAAUGGGAAAAUCCUAAUACCAGAUAAAAACAAUACACUUGGACAGUGCUUCCUCAGGGCUUUCGGGAUAGCCCCCACUUCUUUGCCUGAGCAUUAGAGCGGGAUCUGAGGGAUUUCAAGUUAGAAAAUGGAGGUAUUCUUCAGUAUGGGGAUGACCUUGUGUGUAGCCCAACCUAGGAGGUUUCUGACCAAAAUACUAUAAAAACUUUGAAUUUCCUGGCAGACAGAGGAUACAAAGUGUCCAAAAAGAAGGCUCAGAUUACCCUCCAAUGGGUCCACUAUUUAGGAUAUGUCUUAACACCCGGAACCCGGCAAAUAUCCCCAGAAGGAGUGCAAGCUAUAUGUGGUUUGGCCGCGUGCACCACCCCCAGCCCCCACCCUGACCCACCUCCAAGCAGCAGCUUUGUUCCUUUUUGGGGAUGGCCGGGCUUUGGAGAAUAUGAGUACCAAAUUUUGGGCUCAUAGCAAAGCCCCUAUAUGAAGCAACAAGGGGGCCUGAAAAUGAGCUAAUGGAAUGGACCCCGGAAAUGAGGAAAGCCUUUGCCAAGUUAAAACAGGUUCUCACCCAGGCUCCUGCUCUUGGUAUCCCAGACCUAAUUAAGGCCUUCUCCUUGUAUGUAGCAGAGAAGAGGGGCAUAGCUGUGGGAGUGCUAGCCCAGAAAUUAGGAUCAGAACCCAGACCAACCGCCUACUUCUCAAAAAAGUUGGACGGAGUGGCCUCAGGAUGGCCAAGUUGCCUGCGGGCAAUAGCAGCCACUGCUGUUAGUGGAGGAAGCCACUAAAAUCACCCUAGGGCAACCACUGGAAGUUCUAACGCUCCAUCAGGUAAAGUUAGUCUUAGAAAUAAAGGGACACAUCUGGAUGACAGGGGAAAUGUUAACUAAAUACCAGCCCAUGCUCCUAGACAAUCCAGAUAUAACUCUUAAAACCUGCAACACUUUAAAUCCAGCUUCAUUGCUGCCCACAGGCCCAAUAAUUGAUCAUUCCUGUGAGCAGGUCAUUGCACAUACAUAUGUUAGCCAGCCUGAUUUAAAAGAUGAGGCUCUCCCAGAUUCUGAAGCUGACCGGCUCACAGACGGCAGUAGUUCUUUGUCGAAUGGGGAGCACAGAGCUGGAUAUGCAGCAGUAAAUCAUGACACAAUUAUUGAAGCCCAGCCAGUGCCCCCUGGCACAUCAGCACAAAAGGCUAAAAUCAUUGAUCUUACUCAAGCAUUAAUGUUGGGACAAGGGAAAAAACUUAACAUCUAUACAGAUUCUAAAUAUGCAUUCCUUGUGGUUCAUGCUCAUACCGCCAUCAGGAAAGAAAGGGGAUUACUUACUAGCAAGCACUCCCCUAUAGAGCAUGGACCUGAAAUUCUGCAGCUAUUGAAGGCAAUACACCUGCCAAAGGCCAUAGCUAUCAUUCAUUGUAGGGGGCAUCAAAGGGACUUAACCCCUAUAGCACAAGGGAAUGGAAAGGCUGACGGAAGCCAAAGCAAAAGCCCUCAGCGUGCAAUCCCAACAGAUCCUAGCACUGCUUCCUUUCUACAAUUCCCCAGUAGAACCCAAAUACACACCACAGGAAGAACAGCUAAUAAAAAAAGCAAGGGAGACAAAAACAAGGAUCCUGGUGGCAUAUGGAGCCAAAAAUAUAUCUCCCUCAGGCAGCCCAGUGGAGAGUUAUAAAAGCCCUGCAUGACUCUUUCCAUGUGGGGAGGGAUGCGGCUCUGGCCAUGGUAAACAAGUUCUUUACUGGGUUUAACUCAGCUUCAAUGGCUAAGCAGGUCUGUCAAGCCUGCUCACUGUGUGCAUUUAACAAUCCAGGCAUCAAAAUGCCCCCUCUAAUAAAACCAGUCCAAAGGAGGGGAACUUAUCCAGGGGAAGACUGGCAGUUAGACGUCAUCCAUAUGCCAGCUUGCAGAGGAUACAAGCUUUUGUUAAUACUAAUAGAUACUUUUAGGUUGGGUCAAAGGUUACCCCAGAAAAGGCUAAUGAGGUUCUAAGGUCCUCUUAAAAGAAAUAAUUCCCCAGUUUGGGUUACCUCAGGGUCUCCAAAGUGAUAAUGGCUAAUCCUUUAUCUCCCAAAUAACUCAAGGGGUUGCUAAGGCUCUUGGAAUAAAAUACUAUUUACAUUCAGCCUGGAGGCCCCAAUCCUCUGGAAAAGUGGAAAGGGUUAACCAAACUCUAAAAUAAGCACUAGCUAAACUAUGUCAGGAAACAUCAGAAACUUGGGUUAGCUUAUUGCUCACAGCCCUUUUAAGAAUUUGUAAUACCCCUAGCUCAAAAAUUAACAGAAGCCCAUAUAAAAUGUUAUACAGAAGGCCAUUCUUAACUAAUGAUUUAAUUAUUGACCCAGAAAGAGUUGGUGUAAUUAAAUACCUAGUCAACCCAGAACAAUUCCAGCGGGUUUACAAGAGUUUGGAAUUCAAAGGCUCCUCACACUUGGAACUAACCAGCAACCCAAAAUCAGGCCAGGAGAUAGGGUACUUGUUAAAACAUGGAAUGAGGGAUCACCUGCCCAACAAUUACAACCCCAAUAGAAGGGACUUUUUUCAGUAAUACUGGCCACGUCUUCUGUGGUCAAAGUACUAGUAUUAGAUAGCUGGAUACAUCUUUCAAGGAUCAAACCAUCAAUACCAGAAGCUCCAGACCAGGAACCUGAAGUUCCCAUCAGCCAGUACACCUGUGAACCAGUGGAGGACCUGAAGUACCUGUUUAAAAGAUAGCCAAAAGAUAAGUAAAUGCCUACCAACUUUCUUUGGUGUCUUUGUUGCAUAGUUACUGUGGGCUGGAAAAUAGUAGCCAUUUUUAUCUUUGCAGUUUAAUUGCCUUCUUCCAAAUAGAUAAAAAUCACUUCCUUUGUAAUAAUUAAACAGAAUUUAAAAAAUACAUUUCUAUGACAAAUAUUCCUGAUGGCAUAAGUAUCCACCCCAAGGUUCCCAUUAAAUCUUUUAACCUAAAGUAUUUCCUCUCACCUAGAGAUCAUCGAGCUGUGUGACAAGGGUGCCAGCCACUCCAGGUGAAGACACCACCCCAGGCCAUCAAGGAUCUUCCCUACCUUCACUAAACAGAGCAGGGUGAAAGUUGUGUGAUCCCCAAUAGGUAGGGACUACACCCCAAGUCAGCAGGAAGCAGUUACAGAAGAAAGACCAUUGGUCCCUCUGCUUCCCAUAAAGAUUUAUGGGGAUCACAGCUUUCACGGGGGAGAUGAGGCAAGAGAAUAGGGCAUGCAGGCAGGGUACUUGAGGCCAAUCCACGCUGACUUCCUAGAACUGAAUUAAAUGAAAGCUCCUCAGCAAUGACAGGAAUGUGAAUGGCUUUGUAACUUCUUCCUCUCCAUUAAUGCUAUUUCCACUUUGUAACUUCACUUUCAUCCUCUCCAUUUACAUAGAUCACACACCAAGUAACAUCCUCUCCAUUUACAGUAGGGCGCAUUCCGAGUCAAUGACUCUGACUGCACUUCGUUCUCCUCAUUUACAUAGAACAUUCGCCAAGUAACCAAUGGGAAACCUCUAGAGUAUUGAAACUCCAGAAAAUUCCGUAAGUGGGGCUCUUGAGCGUCUACACUCGGGUCGCUCCCACACUGUGGCGUGUACUUUUAUUCUCAAUAAAUUCCCGCUUUUGCUUUCCUCGUUC